This 236-nucleotide unclassified non-coding RNA is filed under the name Hevea brasiliensis (rubber tree). The record is from RNAcentral. Lineage: Eukaryota; Viridiplantae; Streptophyta; Magnoliopsida; Malpighiales; Euphorbiaceae.
UGACCAUAGACACAUGCCCACUGAUAAUAAUUUAAUUUAUUUUGAAUUUAAAAUAUAAUACAUAUUUAUUUUAAGCGAAGGUAAUUGAUGUUAUUACAGUGAUGGUGGACACAAUUGUUUAAGUCAGCCAUGGUAAUUAUGCGCAGCCAUCAUUCUCCUAAGAAUAAUGCCACUGAGUUAUUAAUUUCAUAAGGGGACAUGUAAAUGCAUAAGAAAGGAAUCCAAACAUAUUUAUG